CUGGUUUUUACUUUAAUAAAAAAUCGUUGUAGUAUCUGUUCUUAUCAGUUUAGUAGCUGAUAUGUCCUGCAAUGCGGGACUCGUCUAUUAAAUGGAUUUUUGGUAUUGGGAGUUGGAUUAGGGGCUUGCUCCGUCUGCUCCAUGCAUCGACCUGGUAUUGCAGUAUCACCAGGAACGGUGCACCCCUU
RNAcentral lists this small nuclear RNA (188 nucleotides) under Eptatretus burgeri (inshore hagfish). RNAcentral's name for it is "U2 spliceosomal RNA (ENSEBUG00000000224.1)". It matches the Rfam family "U2 spliceosomal RNA". Rfam says of the family: U2 is a small nuclear RNA (snRNA) component of the spliceosome (involved in pre-mRNA splicing). Lineage: Eukaryota; Metazoa; Chordata; Myxini; Myxiniformes; Myxinidae. The record is from RNAcentral.